CCAACAGGGAUUGCCCUAGUAACGGCGAGUGAAGCGGCAACAGCUCAAAUUUGAAAUCUGGCUCUCGGGCCCGAGUUGUAAUUUGUAGAGGAUACUUUUGAUGCGGUGCCUUCCGAGUUCCCUGGAACGGGACGCCAUAGAGGGUGAGAGCCCCGUCUGGUUGGAUGCCAAAUCUCUGUAAAGUUCCUUCGACGAGUCGAGUAGUUUGGGAAUGCUGCUCUAAAUGGGAGGUAUAUGUCUUCUAAAGCUAAAUACCGGCCAGAGACCGAUAGCGCACAAGUAGAGUGAUCGAAAGAUGAAAAGCACUUUGAAAAGAGAGUUAAAAAGUACGUGAAAUUGUUGAAAGGGAAGCGUUUAUGACCAGACUUGGGCUUGGUUAAUCAUCUGGGGGUUCUCCCAGUGCACUUUUCCAGUCCAG
This 418-nucleotide ribosomal RNA is filed under the name Fusarium sp. MRC 6750. RNAcentral describes it as "eukaryotic LSU rRNA". It matches the Rfam family "Eukaryotic large subunit ribosomal RNA", at positions 65 to 494 of the family's 3401-position model. Lineage: Eukaryota; Fungi; Ascomycota; Sordariomycetes; Hypocreales; Nectriaceae. The record is from RNAcentral.